GGAGGGAUGGCCGAGUGGUCGAUGGCGGCGGUCUUGAAAACCGUUGGAUGAAAGUCUCGCGGGUUCGAAUCCUGCUCCCUCCGCCA
Molecule: transfer RNA, 86 nt
Filed under: Smithella sp. SC_K08D17
Lineage: Bacteria; Pseudomonadati; Thermodesulfobacteriota; Syntrophia; Syntrophales; Smithellaceae
Also listed under: 6 other names
Description: tRNA-Ser
Rfam family: tRNA
About the family: Transfer RNA (tRNA) molecules are approximately 80 nucleotides in length. Their secondary structure includes four short double-helical elements and three loops (D, anti-codon, and T loops).
Source: RNAcentral